CAUGGUAAAUUUGAAUUUCGCCAUUAUUCUCUAGAGAUAGGUCAAAAAAACAACUGUUUCUUUUCUCAUUCCACUGUUAAUAAAUUAAAAGCUUGCUGUACAAAGGCAACAGCAACUUAAAAUCUGGGCAAUAGAUGUGGACUCCAAAGGGCCACUGCUAUCCCUUCCUGUGUGCUCUUUUUGACAAGUAAAUCACUCCAGUUAGCUGAUGUCCUGAAAUGACGUUUGUCCACCGCGCCCGGCCGAGGCAAUUCUUAUUAGCGCUUACUCAGGACUUUUCAAACAUCAGGACACAUGUAGCAAUUUGGAUGUUGUAAAACUACGUGUUACAUUUCGUGUUACAUUUGGAGAGGUCUGGUUGAGAAGGCAAAAUGUUCUAAAUAUUUUGAUAUCAAUUUGGGUAAAGGAAAACUUUUGUUAGAAUGAGAAUUAAAGAGAAAACAAAAGAACUUUGGCAAAAUUUUCCCUCUGAAAUUACAAACUUUAGUAACUUUUCCAGAUGUAUCGAAUUUAAUUUUACAGUGAUGUCACUCUUCAUACCAAGUGAAUCUAUUCUCAUGACCUUUGAACCCAUGUUAAUUUUGGACCCUAUAACUAAUUUCCUUUCUAAAUCCCAUGGUGGUCAAAGCAGUAAAGGAGUUUAGAGAUACUUAGCCAAUGCCAGUCAUAUAGUAUUGUUAGCCAAACUAUUAUUCCUUCCUUAGAAGUUGAUGUAUCAGAAAAUUUAUAAAUUAUUUGUGUUUAUAUAUAAGUACAUCAGAACUUGCCCAAAUGAUAACUCAUGUUUGCUUUAAUAAGGAGAAUAUGUUAUUUGAGGUUAAUUAUAUGAUAAUAAGGAACAUUUUAUAAUUAUUUACAGUGUUUGACAUUAAUCGCUGUCCUAUGAUAUAGUAGUAAUGUUAAUAGAGAGUUUAAUAUGUUUAGCAUUAUCUUUAUGGAAUUUAUAUUCACCAAUUUCAGGAAAACCAGCCAUAGAACUUUAUAAUAGGACAGCUGUAACCUGACUGAACCAAAUCCACCAGCAUAAUGACUGUGUGUUGUGAGAAAUGCAAAAACUUUAUGAAAGUGUGGUCAUCUUGACCCCCACAGAACCACAGUAGCCAUCAAUUAUUGAGAUUUUUAAAUGGUAAAUAUUGCAAAAGUUAAACAAGGGUAUCAUGAUAUCAUUUAUAAUAAAUGUCAAUAUUGGUAGUCCACUUUAUGCUUAAACAAAAUCAUACAAAAUUAAGUUUUAAGGUUAUAUUUUUUAAAAUAAUGAAUUUUCUAUCUCUGGGCAACAUGUCUUUAUUAUUCAGGCUGAAUGUUUAAGAGAGAUUUUGGUCUUCAAGGCUUCACGUCAUGAAAGUGUACAUGCAUAUGCAAGUGUGAAUCACAUGGUAUGGAUGGUUGCUUGUUUAUUAACUAAAGAUGUACAGCAAACUGCCCUUUUAGAGUCCUGUUAAUAUUGAUGUCCUAACACUGGGUCUGCUAGUUCAGUAUUUAGUCUAGGCUUCAUUUUGAUAUGACUGAAUUGCAAUCUAUAUUUUUAAAAAGAAAAAAUCAAAAUGCAUUAGGAUUUACGUGGUUGUGGCAAACAAACAAACAAUGCUUUCGGUGUUGAAAUAUCUCUAUUUUCCAAAGAUGAUAAACUUUCAUCAUUAUUAGUCUACAUUGUCAUUUAUAUCACCAAAUGAGUUUAUAGAUUAAUGCAAUAAACUUUCUAAUAAAAAA
Molecule: long non-coding RNA, 1710 nt
Organism: Mandrillus leucophaeus (drill)
Lineage: Eukaryota; Metazoa; Chordata; Mammalia; Primates; Cercopithecidae
Exons: 2
Source: RefSeq, a predicted model, not a curated record